RNAcentral lists this ribosomal RNA (432 nucleotides) under uncultured bacterium. RNAcentral's name for it is "partial 16S ribosomal RNA". It matches the Rfam family "Bacterial small subunit ribosomal RNA", at positions 29 to 506 of the family's 1533-position model. The record is from RNAcentral.
AACGAACGCUGGCGGCAUGCCUAACACAUGCAAGUCGAACGAGACCUUCGGGUCUAGUGGCGCACGGGUGCGUAACGCGUGGGAACCUGCCCUUAGGUUCGGAAUAACUCCCCGAAAGGGGUGCUAAUACCGGAUAAUGUCUUCGGACCAAAGAUUUAUCGCCUUUGGAUGGGCCCGCGUUGGAUUAGCUAGUUGGUAGGGUAAAAGCCUACCAAGGCGACGAUCCAUAGCUGGUCUGAGAGGAUGAUCAGCCACACUGGGACUGAGACACGGCCCAGACUCCUACGGGAGGCAGCAGUGGGGAAUAUUGGACAAUGGGCGAAAGCCUGAGCCCGCAAUGCCGCGUGAGUGAUGAAGGCCUUAGGGUUGUAAAGCUCUUUUACCCGGGAUGAUAAUGACAGUACCGGGAGAAUAAGCUCCGGCUAACUCCGU